Molecule: ribosomal RNA, 253 nt
Filed under: uncultured bacterium
Lineage: Bacteria
Description: partial 16S ribosomal RNA
Rfam family: Bacterial small subunit ribosomal RNA
Source: RNAcentral
UACGAAUGUGGCUAGCGUUGUUCGGAUUUACUGGGCGUAAAGCGCAUGUAGGCGGACCAUUAAGUUGGGGGUGAAAUCCCGAGGCUCAACCUCGGAAUUGCCUCCAAAACUGUUGGUCUGGAGCAGAAGAGAGGCGAGUGGAAUUCCGAGUGUAGAGGUGAAAUUCGUAGAUAUUCGGAGGAACACAAGUGGCGAAGGCGACUCGCUGGCUUCUUGCUGACGCUGAGAUGCGAAAGCGUGGGGAGUAAACAGG